Long non-coding RNA from Ornithorhynchus anatinus (platypus), 686 nucleotides. RefSeq lists it as uncharacterized. NCBI's taxonomy places the organism in Eukaryota, Metazoa, Chordata, Mammalia, Monotremata, Ornithorhynchidae. The transcript has 3 exons. The record is from RefSeq and is a predicted model, not a curated record.
GAGACAAUCUGAUCUAAAUUAAAAGAGAAAUGUCUCCUGAUCGUGAAUAUUUUCAUCAUCAUCAUCUGAAUUUAUAGACACCACUCCACCCCUACUCUCUGUAGAGCACUGUACUAUUGGUUGUGCCAACUCUACUUUAUUCUCCCUUAGAACCUACUACUUAGUACGGUGCCCUGCACACAGUAGGCAGUCAAGAAAUAACAUUGAAUAAUCCAAGAUCCUUGGAAGAGGCCAUCUAACAAAAACAGAAGACACCGUGUCUUUGUCCUUGAGGAAUCUGCAGGCAAAUGAAGAAUUUCCAAGCUAAUGUUUGAAACAUCUUCAGAAUUUUCCAGAGGCUAAUGAAUAUUAAUUGGUGAAAUUAUUCACAGGAUUGGCAGUUGCUAAGAGAACUAUUUUAAGUGUGAUUCCAACAAAUCGGAAAUUGACCACCUGGCUGAACAACAUGGACCAAUGCAGAGAAAUGAGAAAACUUGCUGGAUUUCUAAAAAUGAUAUACUCUGUAAUGGAGAAGCAUGUGAAAUCUGAGGGCCUGUGAUUUCUUCCAUGGUUAUUCUCUUGGAAAAUGUGAAAUAGACUCUACGGCCAUAUUGGAAUCCAUUGGAAAUAAGGGAGAAGAGGCAUGUGGAAUCUAUUGGUAAUUGGAACAGCUCCUUUUAAAAGGCCUGUAGAAUGGGGCCCCAUAC